UACAGAGGGUGCGAGCGUUAAUCGGAAUUACUGGGCGUAAAGAGUGCGCAGGCGGUUCGCCAAGUCAGGUGUGAAAUCCCCGGGCUUAACCUGGGAAUUGCGCUUGAAACUAGCGAGCUUGAGUGUGGCAGAGGGGGGUGGAAUUCCACGUGUAGCAGUGAAAUGCGUAGAGAUGUGGAGGAACACCGAUGGCGAAGGCAGCCCCCUGGGUCAACACUGACGCUCAUGCACGAAAGCGUGGGGAGCAAACAGG
RNAcentral lists this ribosomal RNA (253 nucleotides) under uncultured bacterium. Its description in RNAcentral is "partial 16S ribosomal RNA". It matches the Rfam family "Bacterial small subunit ribosomal RNA", at positions 524 to 776 of the family's 1533-position model. The record is from RNAcentral.